RNAcentral lists this long non-coding RNA (917 nucleotides) under Equus caballus (horse). RNAcentral describes it as "lncRNA (ENSECAG00000045084.1)". The record is from RNAcentral. Lineage: Eukaryota; Metazoa; Chordata; Mammalia; Perissodactyla; Equidae.
CAAAGCCUAAAUUAUUACUCUCUGGCCCUUGACAGAAAGUUUGUUGACCUCUGGUCUAGACCCAAGAAGAUUGAUUCUGUCUGGCUGUUGCUGAGGGGGGUUAAGAGGAUGAGGGAUUGAACUCAAGGUGCAUCCACCGAGCCUCAGAUGGGCAGAGAUGAGAACGUAAUUGUCUCCCACCACCUGAGCAAUGUUCUGAAUACGUUAGAGGCAGAGCAGGAUAGUGGUUGAACUCAAGGACUCAGGACCCAGGCACCUGGAUCCAAUCCUAGUUCUGUGACUUGCCAGUUGUGUGACCUUAGGUGCCUUAGGAGACCCACUAUUAUUUUUUUCACUUUACAGAGGAGGAAAUGAGGAUGAAAGAGAUGUCAACUGACUGGUCCACCAACAUCCAGCUGGUGAAUAGCACCCAGGCCUUGAACACUUCUGACCGGAAGCACUCCUAUCUUCCCCUCUGAACAUUACAGUUUAAAAAUUAAAGAAUGGAUCAACUCAGGCCACAAAGGAGUAGGAUUAUAUAAAGAUGAUGAUGGAGACUGAAAUAAAUUCACUUUUGUCUGAAAUAACGGUCACAAAGAGCAAGGAGUUCAAAAUUCACAUUUUGAUUUAAGUCUCUGGCUAUCAGGGUUAAAAUUAUAGCAUUUAAAAUGCCAGAGUUAAGAGAAAAAAAGGAAAUUGCUGUGUAAAGUUAGCAAAGAAAAGAGGACCAUUAAAACAGCAGGAAUGAAUCAAACCCAGAGAGCAUGAAACAAGAAGACAUCAGCCGGCUCAAACUUACCAGUUAUGACUGUGGGGAGAGGCCAAGCCUCCCGGCUCCCGUUUAACUAUAAAUCGAGACAAAGUGACAGAAAAAGGUUGGGAGUAAAAGACAGAGCAAGGAGUUACCUUAAAAAUACAAGUGAAAAGCGGCCAAGGAC